UACGUAGGUGGCUAGCGUUGUUCGGAAUUACUGGGCGUAAAGCGCGCGUAGGCGGCUUUGCAAGUGACGGGUGAAAGCCCUCGGCUUAACCGAGGAACUGCCUGUCAGACUGUAAGGCUUGAGACCGGGAGAGGUGAGUGGAAUUCCCAGUGUAGCGGUGAAAUGCGUAGAUAUUGGGAGGAACACCAGUGGCGAAGGCGGCUCACUGGACCGGAACUGACGCUGAGGCGCGAAAGCGUGGGGAGCAAACAGG
This 253-nucleotide ribosomal RNA is filed under the name uncultured bacterium. Its description in RNAcentral is "partial 16S ribosomal RNA". It matches the Rfam family "Bacterial small subunit ribosomal RNA", at positions 524 to 776 of the family's 1533-position model. The record is from RNAcentral.